AGGCGAGACGGGAUCGGUCAUGCUGGGUGGUUGCUGCUCGGCCCCUGCGCCGGUUGGUUUGGGAGCAGCAGCGGCUUCGUGUGGAGAAAAUUGGUCUGAAUGAAUAGAAGACUACAGUUUCUGUACAUAUGGCCUGUGUACUAUGAUUUGUACAGAAUUUCUGCAGCUCAAGUUUGGCAGCUUUUCUUCCACCAGAAGAGUGUUCUGGAAGAAAUAUACAGGUUUUAUCUUCACAGGAUCUUUCAAGUAAAUUUCUUACACUGGUACUGUCACAGUAUGCCUUUUUCCG
This 289-nucleotide long non-coding RNA is filed under the name Chelonoidis abingdonii (Abingdon island giant tortoise). Its description in RNAcentral is "lncRNA (ENSCABG00000011216.1)". Lineage: Eukaryota; Metazoa; Chordata; Testudines; Testudinidae. The record is from RNAcentral.